Molecule: ribosomal RNA, 419 nt
Filed under: bacterium
Lineage: Bacteria
Description: partial 16S ribosomal RNA
Rfam family: Bacterial small subunit ribosomal RNA
Source: RNAcentral
UGGGGGAUAUUGCACAAUGGGCGAAAGCCUGAUGCAGCGACGCCGCGUGGGGGAUGAAGGCCUUCGGGUUGUAAACUUCUUUUGCUCUGAACAAGGCAUGCUAAUGGGUGUGUUGAGUGUAGGGGUUGAUUAGCGCCGGCUAACUACGUGCCAGCAGCCGCGGUAAUACGUAGGGCGCGAGCGUUGUCCGGAAUUAUUGGGCGUAAAGGGCUUGUAGGUGGCUGGUUGCGUCUGUCGUGAAAGCUCAUGGCUUAACUGUGGGUUUGCGGUGGGUACGGGCUGGCUUGAGUGCAGUAGGGGAGGCUGGAAUUCCUGGUGUAGCGGUGGAAUGCGCAGAUAUCAGGAGGAAUACCGGUGGCGAAGGCGGGUCUCUGGGCUGUUACUGACACUGAGGAGCGAAAGCAUGGGGAGCGAACAAG